RNAcentral lists this transfer RNA (68 nucleotides) under Megymenum gracilicorne. RNAcentral's name for it is "tRNA-Leu". The record is from RNAcentral. Lineage: Eukaryota; Metazoa; Arthropoda; Insecta; Hemiptera; Dinidoridae. RNAcentral also lists the same sequence under 1 other name.
UCUAAUAUGGCAGACUCAAUGCUAUGAACUUAAGAUUCAUCCAUAAAGAUUAUCAUCUUUUAUUAGAA